GGGUUGUGAGGUUAAGCGACUAAGCGUACACGGUGGAUGCCCUGGCAGUCAGAGGCGAUGAAGGGCGUGCUAAUCUGCGAUAAGCGCCGGUAAGGUGAUAUGAACCGUUAUAACCGGCGAUACCCGAAUGGGGAAACCCAGUGUGAUUCGUCACACUAUCAUUACGUGAAUACAUAGCGUAAUGAAGCGAACCGGGGGAACUGAAACAUCUAAGUACCCCGAGGAAAAGAAAUCAACCGAGAUUCCCCCAGUAGCGGCGAGCGAACGGGGAGGAGCCCAGAGCCUGAAUCAGCAUGUGUGUUAGUGGAAGCGUCUGGAAAGGCGCGCGAUACAGGGUGACAGCCCCGUACACAAAAGCGCAUGUGUUGUGAGCUCGAUGAGUAGGGCGGGACACGUGGUAUCCUGUCUGAAUAUGGGGGGACCAUCCUCCAAGGCUAAAUACUCCUGACUGACCGAUAGUGAACCAGUACCGUGAGGGAAAGGCGAAAAGAACCCCGGCGAGGGGAGUGAAAAAGAACCUGAAACCGUGUACGUACAAGCAGUGGGAGCACCCUUUGGGGUGUGACUGCGUACCUUUUGUAUAAUGGGUCAGCGACUUAUAUUCUGUAGCAAGGUUAACCGAAUAGGGGAGCCGGAGGGAAACCGAGUCUUAAUUGGGCGUUAAGUUGCAGGGUAUAGACCCGAAACCCGGUGAUCUAGCCAUGGGCAGGUUGAAGGUUGGGUAACACUAACUGGAGGACCGAACCGACUAAUGUUGAAAAAUUAGCGGAUGACCUGUGGCUGGGGGUGAAAGGCCAAUCAAACCGGGAGAUAGCUGGUUCUCCCCGA
Molecule: ribosomal RNA, 828 nt
Filed under: Salmonella enterica
Lineage: Bacteria; Pseudomonadati; Pseudomonadota; Gammaproteobacteria; Enterobacterales; Enterobacteriaceae
Description: partial 23S ribosomal RNA
Rfam family: Bacterial large subunit ribosomal RNA
Source: RNAcentral